CAACCAGUCUAGUAAAGCUACAUUAAAGAGUAGGAGGAGGGAGAACCAGUCUAGCAUAGAUAUAUUAGAGAGGAGGAGGAGAGAGAACCAGUCUGGUACAGCUACAUUAGAGAGGCGGAGGAGGGAGAACCAGUCUAGUAUAGCUACAUUAGAGAGGAGGAGGAGGCAGAACCAGUCAAGCAUAGAUACAUUAGAGAGGAGGAGGGAAAACCAGUCUAGUACAGCUACAUUAAAGAGGAGGGAGAUCCAGUCUAGUAUAGCUACAUUAGAGAGGAGGAUGGAGAACCAGUCAUGUACAGCUAUAUUAGAGAGGAGGAGAGAGAACCAGUCUAGUAUAGCUACAUUAGAGAGGAGGAGGAGGGACAACCAGUCUAGUAGAGCUAUAUUAGAGAGGAGGAGGGAGAUAAGUCUAGUAUAGAUACAUUAGAGAGGAGGAGGGAGAACCAGUCUAGUACAGCUACAUUAAAGAGGAGGAGGAGGGAGCUCCAGUCUAUGAUAGAUACAUUGGAGAGGAGGAGGAGGGAUAACCAGUCUAGUAUAGCUACAUUAGAGAGGAGGAGGAGGGAGAACCAGUCUAGUAUAGCUACAUUAAAGAGGAGGAGGAGGGAGAACCAGUCUAUUAUAGAUACAUUAGAGAGGAGGAGGGAGGACCAUUGUAGUACAGCCACAUUAGAGAGGAGGAGGAGAGAGAACCAGUCUAGUGCAGCUACAUUAGAGAGGAGGAGGGAGAACCAGUCUAGUAAAGCUACAUUAAAGAGUAGGAGGAGGGAGAACCAGUCUAGCAUAGAUACAUUAGAGAGGAGGAGGAGGGAGAACCAGUCUAGUAGAGCUACAUUAGAGAGGAGGAGGUGGGAGAACCAGUCAAGCAUAUAUACAUUAGAGAGGAGGAGGAGGGACAACCAGUCUAGUAUAGAUACAUUAGAGAGGAGGAGAAGGGAGAACUAGUAUAGUAUAGAUACAUUAGAGAGGAGGAGGAGGGAGAACCAGUCUAGUAUAGCUACAUUAGAGAGGAGGAGAAGGGAGAACCAGUCUAGUACAGCUACAUUAGAGAGGAGGAGGAGGGAGAACCAGUCUAGUACGGCUACAUAAUAGAGGAGGAGGAGGGAAAACCAGUCUAGUAUAUAUACAUUAGAGAGGAGGAGGGAAAACCAGUCUAGUAUAGAUACAUUAGAGAGGAGGAGGAGGGAGAACAAGUCUAGUAUAGAUACAUUAGAGAGGAGGAGGAGGGAGAACCAGUCUAGUAUACCUACAUUAGAGAGGAGGAGGAGGAGGAGGAGGAGGAGGAGGAGGAGGGAGAACCAGUAUAGUACAGCUCCAUUAGAGAGGAGGAUGGAGAACCAGUCUAGUAUAGCUACAUUAGAGAGGAG
Molecule: long non-coding RNA, 1367 nt
Organism: Oncorhynchus tshawytscha (Chinook salmon)
Lineage: Eukaryota; Metazoa; Chordata; Actinopteri; Salmoniformes; Salmonidae
Source: Ensembl